GAGCUUGCUCCUUUGACGUUAGCGGCGGACGGGUGAGUAACACGUGGGUAACCUACCUAUAAGACUGGGAUAACUUCGGGAAACCGGGGCUAAUACCGGAUAAUAUUUCGAACCGCAUGGUUCGAUAGUGAAAGAUGGUUUUGCUAUCACUUAUAGAUGGACCCGCGCCGUAUUAGCUAGUUGGUAAGGUAACGGCUUACCAAGGCGACGAUACGUAGCCGACCUGAGAGGGUGAUCGGCCACACUGGAACUGAGACACGGUCCAGACUCCUACGGGAGGCAGCAGUAGGGAAUCUUCCGCAAUGGGCGAAAGCCUGACGGAGCAACGCCGCGUGAGUGAUGAAGGUCUUCGGAUCGUAAAACUCUGUUAUUAGGGAAGAACAUACGUGUAAGUAACUGUGCACGUCUUGACGGUACCUAAUCAGAAAGCCACGGCUAACUACGUGCCAGCAGCCGCGGUAAUACGUAGGUGGCAAGCGUUAUCCGGAAUUAUUGGGCGUAAAGCGCGCGUAGGCGGUUUCUUAAGUCUGAUGUGAAAGCCCACGGCUCAACCGUGGAGGGUCAUUGGAAACUGGAAAACUUGAGUGCAGAAGAGGAAAGUGGAAUUCCAUGUGUAGCGGUGAAAUGCGCAGAGAUAUGGAGGAACACCAGUGGCGAAGGCGACUUUCUGGUCUGUAACUGACGCUGAUGUGCGAAAGCGUGGGGAUCAAACAGGAUUAGAUACCCUGGUAGUCCACGCCGUAAACGAUGAGUGCUAAGUGUUAGGGGGUUUCCGCCCCUUAGUGCUGCAGCUAACGCAUUAAGCACUCCGCCUGGGGAGUACGACCGCAAGGUUUGAAACUCAAAGGAAUUGACGGGGACCCGCACAAG
RNAcentral lists this ribosomal RNA (870 nucleotides) under Staphylococcus devriesei. Its description in RNAcentral is "bacterial SSU rRNA". It matches the Rfam family "Bacterial small subunit ribosomal RNA", at positions 76 to 929 of the family's 1533-position model. Lineage: Bacteria; Bacillati; Bacillota; Bacilli; Caryophanales; Staphylococcaceae. The record is from RNAcentral.